AACAAAGAAGUAAAAAAGCUACACUUAGUUUCGACCUAAGCUCAAGGAUUAUAAAUUUCCUCAUGUUU
Molecule: transfer RNA, 68 nt
Filed under: Nesophrosyne maritima
Lineage: Eukaryota; Metazoa; Arthropoda; Insecta; Hemiptera; Cicadellidae
Description: tRNA-Arg
Source: RNAcentral